GUCUACAGCCAUGCCAGCCUGAACAAGCCCGAUCCCAUCUGAUCUUGGAAGCUAAGCAGGUUUGGGCCUGGUUAGUACUUGGAUGGGAGACCACCUAGGAAGACCAGGUGCUGUAGGCG
This 119-nucleotide ribosomal RNA is filed under the name Pteropus alecto (black flying fox). The record is from RNAcentral. Lineage: Eukaryota; Metazoa; Chordata; Mammalia; Chiroptera; Pteropodidae.